Long non-coding RNA from Phacochoerus africanus (Common warthog), 449 nucleotides. RefSeq lists it as uncharacterized. NCBI's taxonomy places the organism in Eukaryota, Metazoa, Chordata, Mammalia, Artiodactyla, Suidae. The transcript is spliced from 3 exons. The record is from RefSeq and is a predicted model, not a curated record.
CUCAUUUAAUCCUUAGAGCGAGAGGCAGGUAUCAUCGAUCCCAGUGAGAAAUGAAAAAACGGAGUUAAAUCACUUGCACAGAGUCAUGGAACCAUUAAGAAUCCGAGCCUCCAUCACUACAAGUUUCUGUCUUCAGUGAGUCUACAACCUAGGUGAAGAGCCAAAUCUCCCGACAGAAAGCAUCACCACGUGAAGAAUGCACCUGGGACACCUUCUCUAACCCUCCCCAGCCUCUCCGCCACCACACCUGACGCGCCCUCUGCAAUACAGCACAUCAUGUACUGAACCGCUGCAGGCCACACUGAAGAACUGCCCUCUGGUUGUCACAUUGCUCCCCGGGGAAGGUGCGUUCUUGGUCCCCAAAUCUCUGAAGAGCACAGCUCUGUACCCUGAAGGCUGGCAGGACUUACUUAGGAAAACUGUCGCUUUGAGGCCCACACAGCCUAGAA